UUAGUGCAAUGGCAUAAGCCAGCUUGACUGCGAGCGUGACGGCGCGAGCAGGUGCGAAAGCAGGUCAUAGUGAUCCGGUGGUUCUGAAUGGAAGGGCCAUCGCUCAACGGAUAAAAGGUACUCCGGGGAUAACAGGCUGAUACCGCCCAAGAGUUCAUAUCGACGGCGGUGUUUGGCACCUCGAUGUCGGCUCAUCACAUCCUGGGGCUGAAGUAGGUCCCAAGGGUAUGGCUGUUCGCCAUUUAAAGUGGUACGCGAGCUGGGUUUAGAACGUCGUGAGACAGUUCGGUCCCUAUCUGCCGUGGGCGCUGGAGAACUGAGGGGGGCUGCUCCUAGUACGAGAGGACCGGAGUGGACGCAUCACUGGUGUUCGGGUUGUCAUGCCAAUGGCACUGCCCGGUAGCUAAAUGCGGAAGAGAUAAGUGCUGAAAGCAUCUAAGCACGAAACUUGCCCCGAGAUGAGUUCUCCCUGAGACUUAGAGUCUCCUGAAGGAACGUUGAAGACGACGACGUUGAUAGGCCGGGUGUGUAAGCGCAGCGAUGCGUUGAGCUAACCGGUACUAAUGAACCGUGAGGCUUAACCUUACAAC
RNAcentral lists this ribosomal RNA (590 nucleotides) under Salmonella enterica. RNAcentral describes it as "partial 23S ribosomal RNA". It matches the Rfam family "Bacterial large subunit ribosomal RNA", at positions 2346 to 2925 of the family's 2925-position model. Lineage: Bacteria; Pseudomonadati; Pseudomonadota; Gammaproteobacteria; Enterobacterales; Enterobacteriaceae. The record is from RNAcentral.